AGAAAAAAAUUGUAGUUAAUUUUGGAGUUACUGUACUUGGGGAUUGUUCUGAACGUUGCUUAGAGAAAACCUCACUAAAAAUAAAAAUCAAUGAUUUCAUUUACAGACAUCGGCAGUACAUCACAAUGAAAAAAUAAGUAAAAUCAACAGCAAUCUUCUGUUACAAAAUUCUCAUUGCAUUUAUAACUGGAUUGUGACCUUGGAAAUUGUAUGAGGAAAGAAGAAAUGUUCCGACUUACCUUUUUGGGAGUCACUUAAUGGCAAAAAGAGCUAAACGUGAUAUACAAGGAGUAAAUUGCAGUAGUCUUGUUACUUCCAGGACGACAUACACGAUAGAAACUUUCCAUUCAGAGGAAGAACCCAGAAGAAGCAGGCAGGUACAAUAAGGUAAAAUUCUGACAACGAGGCACAGACAGAUCCAAAGCAGUGAUGUGCACCCUGCAGUCACUAAGCAAG
This 456-nucleotide long non-coding RNA is filed under the name Lepisosteus oculatus (spotted gar). Its description in RNAcentral is "lncRNA (ENSLOCG00000022053.1)". The record is from RNAcentral. Lineage: Eukaryota; Metazoa; Chordata; Actinopteri; Semionotiformes; Lepisosteidae.